ACCACAAACACACACCAGUGAAGGCAGAAGAGUUCAGAAUUUGAAUGUACUGAAGAAUCCUGGUGUUUCCAGCAUCAAGUUCAAGCCAUCCGUGAUCAACCCAGAGAUCA
Long non-coding RNA from Sinocyclocheilus rhinocerous, 110 nucleotides. RefSeq lists it as uncharacterized. Lineage: Eukaryota; Metazoa; Chordata; Actinopteri; Cypriniformes; Cyprinidae. The transcript has 3 exons. The record is from RefSeq and is a predicted model, not a curated record.